Molecule: ribosomal RNA, 234 nt
Filed under: uncultured Staphylococcus sp.
Lineage: Bacteria; Bacillati; Bacillota; Bacilli; Caryophanales; Staphylococcaceae
Description: partial 16S ribosomal RNA
Rfam family: Bacterial small subunit ribosomal RNA
Source: RNAcentral
CUGGGAGUAACUUCGGGAAACCGGGAAGCUAAUACCGGAUAAUAUAUUGAACCGCAUGGUUCAAUAGUGAAAGAACGGUUUUGUCUGUCACUUAUAGAUGGAUCCGCGCCGCAUUAGCUAGUUGGUAAGGUAACGGCUUACCAAGGCAACGAUGCGUAGCCGACCUGAGAGGGUGAUCGGCCACACUGGAACUGAGACACGGUCCAGACUCCUACGGUACGGGAGGCAGCAGGU